CCUACGGGUGGCAGCAGUGGGGAAUAUUGCACAAUGGGCGCAAGCCUGAUGCAGCCAUGCCGCGUGUGUGAAGAAGGCCUUCGGGUUGUAAAGCACUUUCAGCGGGGAGGAAGGCGUUAAGGUUAAUAACCUUGUCGAUUGACGUUACCCGCAGAAGAAGCACCGGCUAACUCCGUGCCAGCAGCCGCGGUAAUACGGAGGGUGCAAGCGUUAAUCGGAAUUACUGGGCGUAAAGCGCACGCAGGCGGUCUGUCAAGUCGGAUGUGAAAUCCCCGGGCUCAACCUGGGAACUGCGUUCGAAACUGGCAGGCUAGAGGCUUGUAGAGGGGGGUAGAAUUCCAGGUGUAGCGGUGAAAUGCGUAGAGAUCUGGAGGAAUACCGGUGGCGAAGGCGGCCCCCUGGACAAAGACUGACGCUCAGGUGCGAAAGCGUGGGGAGCAAACAGGAUUAGAUACCCGAGUAGUC
This 465-nucleotide ribosomal RNA is filed under the name uncultured Klebsiella sp. RNAcentral describes it as "bacterial SSU rRNA". It matches the Rfam family "Bacterial small subunit ribosomal RNA", at positions 338 to 795 of the family's 1533-position model. Lineage: Bacteria; Pseudomonadati; Pseudomonadota; Gammaproteobacteria; Enterobacterales; Enterobacteriaceae. The record is from RNAcentral.